RNAcentral lists this non-coding RNA (148 nucleotides) under Gorilla gorilla gorilla (western lowland gorilla). Lineage: Eukaryota; Metazoa; Chordata; Mammalia; Primates; Hominidae. The record is from Rfam by way of RNAcentral.
GCCAGGUGUCGUGGCGGGCGCCUGUAAUCCCAGCUACUCAGGAGGCUGAGGCGGGAGAAUUGCUUGAACCCAGGAGACAGAGGCUGCAGUGAGCCGAGAUUGCGCCAUUGCACUCCAGCCUGGGCGACAGAGCAAGACUCUGUCUCAA